AGUGUACGAAUACCUCCGGGUUUUAAAAUAUCGAACCACAGGGAUUGUGAGUGAGAAUUGUUGAUUUAAGUCUAAAGUUUGCAAGUUCUUAAAGCAGUAAAUUUCAAAGAUUGGUUUUGGUUGAUUGUGACGAAAGAUUUGCAAAAGAGCAAUGAUGAAUAAGUUGUGAAAAACAAAUGAUGGGAAAUUGCCUUGGGUUUUUUUUUUUCUUUUUCUUUUUUUUUUUUUUUUUUUUUUUUUUUUUUUUUUUUUUUUUUUUUUUUUUUUUUUUUUUUAUUUUUUUUUU
This 286-nucleotide long non-coding RNA is filed under the name Lotus japonicus. RNAcentral describes it as "long non-coding RNA (LJAP_LNC000373)". Lineage: Eukaryota; Viridiplantae; Streptophyta; Magnoliopsida; Fabales; Fabaceae. The record is from RNAcentral.